Suricata suricatta (meerkat) is the source of this 231-nucleotide long non-coding RNA. RefSeq lists it as uncharacterized. The transcript is spliced from 2 exons. The record is from RefSeq and is a predicted model, not a curated record. Lineage: Eukaryota; Metazoa; Chordata; Mammalia; Carnivora; Herpestidae.
UCGACAGUUGAUGUGACUUGGAGAGUUUUCCACUCAGCUUUCUGAAACUCUGCCUGACUUCCAAGGCCACACUGUUGAUCACUGCUAUCCCAUGGGGUUCGUAUAUGGGAGAAGGAGAUAAGGCCUUGAGGAUCACUUGAGAUCAAGAUACAAAAGCAAUGAGCCUCUGACCUAGAAACCAAGACUUGUGAACAGAAGAUCACAAAAAUCCAUUAAAAACUUAAUACAAAA